AAUUUUGGACAAUGGGGGCAACCCUGAUCCAGCCAUCCCGCGUGUGCGAUGAAGGCCUUCGGGUUGUAAAACUCUGUUGUCAGGGAAGAACAAGUAUCGGAGUAACUGCCGGUACCUUGACGGUACCUGACCAGAAAGCCACGGCUAACUACGUGCCAGCAGCCGCGGUAAUACGUAGGUGGCAAGCGUUGUCCGGAAUUAUUGGGCGUAAAGCGAGCGCAGGCGGUCUUUUAAGUCUGAUGUGAAAGUCCCCGGCUCAACCGGGGAGGGUCAUUGGAAACUGGGAGACUUGAGUGCAGAAGAGAAGAGUGGAAUUCCACGUGUAGCGGUGAAAUGCGUAGAGAUGUGGAGGAACACCAGUGGCGAAGGCGACUCUUUGGUCUGUAACAGACGCUGAGGCGCGAAAGCGUGGGGAGCGAAC
RNAcentral lists this ribosomal RNA (421 nucleotides) under uncultured bacterium. RNAcentral's name for it is "partial 16S ribosomal RNA". It matches the Rfam family "Bacterial small subunit ribosomal RNA", at positions 360 to 773 of the family's 1533-position model. The record is from RNAcentral.